GAUAGACCCUGAUAAUUUAAUUUUAAACCAGGAAUGAGUGACAAAGCAAAUGUCAUAACUAAAAUUCUAAGGUUGACACAUGAAUAGGGUUUGGUCUAAACCUUGUAAUAUAUUUAAUGAUGCUAGGAUGAAAAUAUUGGUUCUUUUUAUUGGACUGACAUCAACAUGGAUAUCUCAAAUUUUUUAUUUAAGUAAUAUUAUUUUUUAAAAAAAUUAUUAAAAUAAUAUUAUUUUAAAAAUAUUUAUCAAAAUACUGUUCAAAAUAAAAUCAUCCUGUGAUAAGAUGGCAUCACAAUCCAUGUCAUAUGGAAGGAGUCAGUAAUGGGUCA
Molecule: long non-coding RNA, 329 nt
Filed under: Elaeis guineensis (African oil palm)
Lineage: Eukaryota; Viridiplantae; Streptophyta; Magnoliopsida; Arecales; Arecaceae
Description: long non-coding RNA (EGUI_LNC048776)
Source: RNAcentral